CUACAAUGGCCGGUACAAAGAGAAGCGAGGCUGUGAAGCGGAGCAAAUCUCAAAAACCGGUCCCAGUUCGGAUUGUAGGCUGCAACUCGCCUACAUGAAGUCGGAGUUGCUAGUAAUCGCGGAUCAGAAUGCCGCGGUGAAUGCGUUCCCGGGUCUUGUACACACCGCCCGUCACACCAUGGAAGUUGGGGGCGCCCGAAGUUGCCUAAGAAAUAAGGUACCUAAGGCGAAACCAAUGACUGGGGUGAAGUCGUAACAAGGUAUC
RNAcentral lists this ribosomal RNA (265 nucleotides) under uncultured bacterium. RNAcentral's name for it is "partial 16S ribosomal RNA". It matches the Rfam family "Bacterial small subunit ribosomal RNA", at positions 1225 to 1500 of the family's 1533-position model. The record is from RNAcentral.